Molecule: ribosomal RNA, 253 nt
Filed under: uncultured bacterium
Lineage: Bacteria
Description: partial 16S ribosomal RNA
Rfam family: Bacterial small subunit ribosomal RNA
Source: RNAcentral
UACGAAGGGGGCGAGCGUUGUCCGGAUUUACUGGGCGUAAAGAGCGCGCAGGCGGUCGAUCAAGUCGAGUGUGAAAGCCCCCGGCUCAACUGGGGAGGGUCAUUCGAUACUGAUCGACUCGAAGGCAGGAGAGGGUAGUGGAAUUCCCGGUGUAGUGGUGAAAUGCGUAGAUAUCGGGAGGAACACCAGUGGCGAAGGCGACUACCUGGCCUGUUCUUGACGCUGAGGCGCGAAAGCUAGGGGAGCAAACGGG